GUGCCAGCAGCCGCGGUAAUUCCAGCUCCAAUAGCGUAUAUUAAAGUUGUUGUGGUUAAAAAGCUCGUAGUUGGAUCUCAACAGCCUUGAAGCGGUUAACUUUGUAGUUUUACUGCUUUAUAGGCUGUGCUUUUGCUGGAGGUUUAGGGGUGCUCUUGAUCGAGUGUCUCUGGAUGCCAGCAGGUUUACUUUGAAAAAAUUAGAGUGCUCAAAGCAGGCUAAAAUGCCUGAAUAUUCGUGCAUGGAAUAAUAGAAUAGGAUGUCGAUCCUAUUUUGUUGGUUUUCGGGACUCGACAUAAUGAUAAAUAGGGACAGUCGGGGGCAUUUGUAUUCAAACGACAGAGGUGAAAUUCUUGGACCGUUUGAAGACAAACUACUGCGAAAGCAUUUGCCAAGAAUGUUUUCAUUAAUCAAGAACGAAAGUUAGAGGUUCGAAGGCGAUUAGAUACCGCCCUAGUUCUAACCAUAAACGAUGCCAGCUAGCGAUCUGCCUGCGUUUUUACUGUAGACUGGGCAGGAAGCUUCCGGGAAACCAAAGCAUUUGGGUUCCAGGGGAAGUAUGGUUGCAAAGCUGAAACUUAAAGGAAUUGACGGAAGGGCACCACCAGGAGUGGAGCCUGUGGCUUAAUUUGACUCAACACGGGAAAUCUCACCAGGCCCGGACACUGGAAGGAUUGACAGAUUGAUAGCUCUUUCUUGAUUCGGUGGGUGGUGGUGCAUGGCCGUUCUUAGUUGGUGGAGUGAUUUGUCUGGUUAAUUCCGAUAACGAACGAGACUCUGUCCUGCUAAAUAGUUUCUACUUCUCUUUUGAGUAGAAAUUUCUUCUUAGAGGGACUGGUGACUCUUAGUCACACGAGAUUGAGCAAUAACAGGUCUGUGA
RNAcentral lists this ribosomal RNA (880 nucleotides) under uncultured eukaryote. RNAcentral describes it as "SSU rRNA". It matches the Rfam family "Eukaryotic small subunit ribosomal RNA", at positions 564 to 1467 of the family's 1831-position model. The record is from RNAcentral.